GAUGAACGCUGGCGGCGUGCCUAAUACAUGCAAGUCGAGCGAACAGACGAGGAGCUUGCUCCUCUGACGUUAGCGGCGGACGGGUGAGUAACACGUGGAUAACCUACCUAUAAGACUGGGAUAACUUCGGGAAACCGGAGCUAAUACCGGAUAAUAUAUUGAACCGCAUGGUUCAAUAGUGAAAGACGGUUUUGCUGUCACUUAUAGAUGGAUCCGCGCCGCAUUAGCUAGUUGGUAAGGUAACGGCUUACCAAGGCAACGAUGCGUAGCCGACCUGAGAGGGUGAUCAGCCACACUGGAACUGAGACGCGGUCCAGACUCCUACGGGAGGCAGCAGUAGGGAAUCUUCCGCAAUGGGCGAAAGCCUGACGGAGCCACGCCGCGUGAGUGAUGAAAGUCUUCGGAUCGUGAAACUCUGUUAUUAGGGAAGAACAAAUGUGUAAGUAACUAUGCACGUCUUGACGGUACCUAAUCAGAAAGCCACGGCUAACUACGUG
This 497-nucleotide ribosomal RNA is filed under the name uncultured bacterium. Its description in RNAcentral is "partial 16S ribosomal RNA". It matches the Rfam family "Bacterial small subunit ribosomal RNA", at positions 28 to 507 of the family's 1533-position model. The record is from RNAcentral.